GACGAACGCUGGCGGCGUGGAUUAGGCAUGCAAGUCGAACGGUAUCAUCCUUUCGGGGGUGAGAGAGUGGCGAACUGGUGAGUAACACGUAGGUUAUCUACCCUCAAGACGGGGACAACCCAGGGAAACUUGGGCUAAUACCGGAUGUGAGCAACUUUUAGUUGUUUGAAAGGUGGCGUAAGCUGUCGCUUGGGGAUGAGCCUGCGUCCUAUUAGUUAGUUGGUGAGGUAACGGCUCACCUAGGCAAUGAUAGGUAGGCGGCCUUAACGGGUGGUCGCCCACACCGGGAUUGAGAUACGGCCCAGACUCCUACGGGAGGCAGCAGUCGAGAAUAGUCUACAAUGGUCGGAAGACUGAUAGUGCGACGCCGCGUGAACGAUGAAUCCCUUCGGGGUGUAAAGUUCUUUUAUAUGUGAGCAGUGCUUCUUAUAUUAACAGUAUGGGGAGAGAGAUAUUAGCAUAUGAAUAAGCAACGGCUAACUCCGUGCCAGCAGCCGCGGUAAUCUCG
This 508-nucleotide ribosomal RNA is filed under the name uncultured bacterium. Its description in RNAcentral is "bacterial SSU rRNA". It matches the Rfam family "Bacterial small subunit ribosomal RNA", at positions 28 to 527 of the family's 1533-position model. The record is from RNAcentral.